AGUGAACGCCGGCGGUAGGCCUAACACAUGCGAGUCGAACGGCAGCACAGGAGAGCUUGCUCUCUGGGUGGCGAGUGGCGGACGGGUGAGGAAUACAUCGGAAUCUAGUUUUUCGUGGGGGAUAACGGAGGGAAACUUACGCUAAUACCGCAUACGACCUACGGGUAAAAGCAGGGGACCUUCGGGCCUUGCGCGAUUGAAUGAGCCGAUGUCGGAUUAGCUAGUUGGCGGGGUAAAGGCCCACCAAGGCGACGAUCCGUAGCUGGUCUGAGAGGAUGAUCAGCCACACUGGAACUGAGACACGGUCCAGACUCCUACGGGAGGCAGCAGUGGGGAAUAUUGGACAAUGGGCGCAAGCCUGAUCCAGCCAUACCGCGUGGGUGAAGAAGGCCUUCGGGCUGUAAAGCCCUUUUGUUGGGAAAGAAAUCCAGCUGGCUAAUACCCGGUUGGGAUGACGGUACCCAAAGAAUAAGCACCGGCUAACUUCGUGCCAGCAGCCGCAGUAA
Molecule: ribosomal RNA, 506 nt
Filed under: uncultured bacterium
Lineage: Bacteria
Description: partial 16S ribosomal RNA
Rfam family: Bacterial small subunit ribosomal RNA
Source: RNAcentral